This is a long non-coding RNA of Quercus robur (English oak), 698 nucleotides long. RefSeq lists it as uncharacterized. The record is from RefSeq and is a predicted model, not a curated record. Lineage: Eukaryota; Viridiplantae; Streptophyta; Magnoliopsida; Fagales; Fagaceae. The transcript has 2 exons.
UUUGCAGCAGUGGAGCUAAAAAGCUAUAAUGCUAUUUUAGCUCCACUGAUAUUGCAAAACCAGCACACAACAGUGGAGGCAAAGCCAAAAUAUUUGGCUGAUUUGCUACAGUGCACAUCUAUAGAUAGAUGUGCACUGUAGCACUCAUCUAAACAAAAAAAAUAAUUUUUUAUGCGGCAACCGGAUUAAAAUAAUCCCUCUUUCCCCAUUUUUUCAUUCUUUUAUUUCCUUUCUCCUUCACCGUCACUCUCAAUCUCCUUCUCCCUCACUCUCAUCUCCCAAAUCGCUCCUGCCCAUCACCGUCACUCAUCACCGUCCAAGCCACAGACCAGCCCAGCCUAGCCCACGCCGUCCCUCGCCAUCCCAGACCAGCCCUCGCCAACGCCGUCCCUCGCCGUUCAGCCCAAAUCAGCCCACGCCGUCGCCGUCCUAGACCAGCCCAGCCCACGCCGUCCGUCGCCGCAUCUCCCUCACUCAUCGCACUCCAACUCAUCUCCCUCACUCAUCACCGUCGCCGUCCGUCGCCGUCGCAAGCUCUCAUCUCACUCAUCAAGCUCUCCACGCUGUCGCCGUCCAAGCCCAGCCCAAUCCGUCGCCGUCGCCGUCCCAGCCGAUCCACUUCAGAGCCAGAGUUAUGUAUGGAUGGUCUCUGUAUGUGGUGGCGGCGGAAAAAGAGUCGUCGGUGGCGGUGGCGGCGG